CUGCCUCUCACCUUCACUGUACUUGCUGGAUUGAUGUGCUGCUUGCUUUAGUCCUUUAAAUGAAUUAGUUGGUGGGGAGUAAUGAGAUAAUUUGUGAUGUACGGGGUGGUGGCAGCACCUGUGACAAACGCAUCACCCCGGGGCUGGGAACAGGAGGGGCUGAGCGUUGCUUCCCGAACACGCUGCAGCUCCCGGCUCGCUGUCGGACCGUUACCAUAGCAAACAGCCUCCCUCUCCCCCAGCCCUCCGGCUGUACCAUCAGCACAUCGGUAUUUCUGCACGAGCACACAGGAAGGGAGCGAGGAGACGUUGCAGGGGCAGCGCCGCCGCCGUGGGCUCCGGAGGAUCUCCGGGUGUUCGUCUUUUAGCCCAUCGGUUCUCGAAUGUGACCUGGAGUGCCUCUGAGACGUCACAAAUGACCGCAGGAGGUGGCUUGCACCUUCUGUGGCCAGGAGCUGAAGCAACAAGCAGUGCCUUGCUCAGGAUGUACUGUGAUAGCAUCAGGAGACACUGA
Molecule: long non-coding RNA, 514 nt
Filed under: Phasianus colchicus (ring-necked pheasant)
Lineage: Eukaryota; Metazoa; Chordata; Aves; Galliformes; Phasianidae
Description: lncRNA (ENSPCLG00000006153.1)
Source: RNAcentral